This 25-nucleotide non-coding RNA is filed under the name Drosophila melanogaster (fruit fly). Lineage: Eukaryota; Metazoa; Arthropoda; Insecta; Diptera; Drosophilidae. The record is from RNAcentral.
UUAUGUUAUUUCCAGUAGGUCUAGA